AUGAACGCUGGCGGCGUGCCUAAUACAUGCAAGUCGAGCGAACAGACGAGGAGCUUGCUCCUCUGACGUUAGCGGCGGACGGGUGAGUAACACGUGGAUAACCUACCUAUAAGACUGGGAUAACUUCGGGAAACCGGAGCUAAUACCGGAUAAUAUAUUGAACCGCAUGGUUCAAUAGUGAAAGACGGUUUUGCUGUCACUUAUAGAUGGAUCCGCGCCGCAUUAGCUAGUUGGUAAGGUAACGGCUUACCAAGGCGACGAUGCGUAGCCGACCUGAGAGGGUGAUCGGCCACACUGGAACUGAGACACGGUCCAGACUCCUACGGGAGGCAGCAGUAGGGAAUCUUCCGCAAUGGGCGAAAGCCUGACGGAGCAACGCCGCGUGAGUGAUGAAGGUCUUCGGAUCGUAAAACUCUGUUAUUAGGGAAGAACAAAUGUGUAAGUAACUAUGCACGGCUUGACGGUACCUAAUCAGAAAGCCACGGCUAACUACGUG
This 496-nucleotide ribosomal RNA is filed under the name uncultured bacterium. Its description in RNAcentral is "partial 16S ribosomal RNA". It matches the Rfam family "Bacterial small subunit ribosomal RNA", at positions 29 to 507 of the family's 1533-position model. The record is from RNAcentral.